AACUUGUAGCAAGGGAUCACUUGGGUCUCGCAGCGAUGAAGAACGCAGCGAAAUGCGAUAAGUAAUGUGAAUUGCAGAAUUCAGUGAAUCAUCGAAUCUUUGAACGCACCUUGCGCCCUUUGGCUAUUCCGAAGGGCAUGCCUGUUUGAGUAUCAUGAACACCUCAACUCUCAGGGUUUGCCAUGAUGAGCUUGGACUCUGGAGGUCUUGCUGGCUCAUGGUCAGCUCCUCUUAAAUGAAUCAGCUCUCCAGUGUUUGGUGGCAUCACAGGUGUGAUAACUAUCUACGCUUGUGGUGUCCUCCCAGGUAACCUCCGAGCAUGGAGGUCGCUGGAGCUAAUAAACGCACAUCUCUCAUUGUAGAGAUGGCUUUUUAGAUGUUUGAUCUCAAAUCAGGUAGGACUACCCGCUGAACUUAAGCAUAUCAAUAAGCGGAGGCU
RNAcentral lists this unclassified non-coding RNA (439 nucleotides) under uncultured Thelephoraceae. RNAcentral's name for it is "sequence contains ITS2". The stretch from base 1 to 155 matches the Rfam family "5.8S ribosomal RNA". The record is from RNAcentral. Lineage: Eukaryota; Fungi; Basidiomycota; Agaricomycetes; Thelephorales; Thelephoraceae.